UACGUAGGGGGCAAGCGUUGUCCGGAAUCAUUGGGCGUAAAGCGCGUGUAGGCGGCUGGGUAAGUCCGCUCUGAAAGCCCGGGGCUCAACCCCGGGAGGCGGGUGGAUACUGCUCAGCUCGAGUCCGGAAGAGGAGUGUGGAAUUCCUGGUGUAGCGGUGAAAUGCGCAGAUAUCAGGAGGAACACCAAUUGCGAAGGCAGCUCGCUGGGACGUUACUGACGCUGAGACGCGAAAGCGUGGGGAGCAAACAGG
This 253-nucleotide ribosomal RNA is filed under the name uncultured bacterium. RNAcentral's name for it is "partial 16S ribosomal RNA". It matches the Rfam family "Bacterial small subunit ribosomal RNA", at positions 524 to 776 of the family's 1533-position model. The record is from RNAcentral.